RNAcentral lists this ribosomal RNA (500 nucleotides) under uncultured bacterium. Its description in RNAcentral is "partial 16S ribosomal RNA". It matches the Rfam family "Bacterial small subunit ribosomal RNA", at positions 28 to 506 of the family's 1533-position model. The record is from RNAcentral.
GACGAACGCUGGCGGCGUGCCUAAUACAUGCAAGUCGAGCGGACCGGAUUGGGGCUUGCCUUGAUUCGGUCAGCGGCGGACGGGUGAGUAACACGUGGGCAACCUGCCCGCAAGACCGGGAUAACUCCGGGAAACCGGAGCUAAUACCGGAUAACACCGAAGACCGCAUGGUCUUCGGUUGAAAGGCGGCCUUUGGGCUGUCACUUGCGGAUGGGCCCGCGGCGCAUUAGCUAGUUGGUGAGGUAACGGCUCACCAAGGCGACGAUGCGUAGCCGGCCUGAGAGGGUGACCGGCCACACUGGGACUGAGACACGGCCCAGACUCCUACGGGAGGCAGCAGUAGGGAAUCUUCCGCAAUGGGCGAAAGCCUGACGGAGCGACGCCGCGUGAGCGAAGAAGGCCUUCGGGUCGUAAAGCUCUGUUGUGAGGGACGAAGGAGCGUCGUUCGAAGAGGGCGGCGCGGGGACGGUACCUCACGAGAAAGCCCCGGCUAACUACGU